This 490-nucleotide ribosomal RNA is filed under the name uncultured bacterium. RNAcentral's name for it is "partial 16S ribosomal RNA". It matches the Rfam family "Bacterial small subunit ribosomal RNA", at positions 30 to 507 of the family's 1533-position model. The record is from RNAcentral.
AUUGAACGCUGGCGGCAGGCCUAACACAUGCAAGUCGAACGGUAACAGGAAGAAGCUUGCUUCUUUGCUGACGAGUGGCGGACGGGUGAGUAAUGUCUGGGAAACUGCCUGAUGGAGGGGGAUAACUACUGGAAACGGUAGCUAAUACCGCAUAACGUCGCAAGACCAAAGAGGGGGACCUUCGGGCCUCUUGCCAUCGGAUGUGCCCAGAUGGGAUUAGCUAGUAGGUGGGGUAACGGCUCACCUAGGCAACGAUCCCUAGCUGGUCUGAGAGGAUGACCAGCCACACUGGAACUGAGACACGGUCCAGACUCCUACGGGAGGCAGCAGUGGGGAAUAUUGCACAAAGGGCGCAAGCCUGAUGCAGCCAUGCCGCGUGUAUGAAGAAGGCCUUCGGGUUGUAAAGUACCUUCAGCGGGGAGGAAGGGAGUAAAGUUAAUACCUUUACUCAUUGACGUUACCCGCAGAAGAAGCACCGGCUAACUCCGUG